UACGGAGGGUGCAAGCGUUAUCCGGAUUCACUGGGUUUAAAGGGUGCGUAGGCGGGCAAGUAAGUCAGUGGUGAAAUCUCCGAGCUUAACUCGGAAACUGCCGUUGAUACUAUUUGUCUUGAAUAUUGUGGAGGUAAGCGGAAUAUGUCAUGUAGCGGUGAAAUGCUUAGAUAUGACAUAGAACACCAAUUGCGAAGGCAGCUUACUACACAAUUAUUGACGCUGAGGCACGAAAGCGUGGGGAUCAAACAGG
Molecule: ribosomal RNA, 253 nt
Filed under: uncultured bacterium
Lineage: Bacteria
Description: partial 16S ribosomal RNA
Rfam family: Bacterial small subunit ribosomal RNA
Source: RNAcentral